This is a long non-coding RNA of Pygocentrus nattereri (red-bellied piranha), 1330 nucleotides long. The record is from Ensembl. Lineage: Eukaryota; Metazoa; Chordata; Actinopteri; Characiformes; Serrasalmidae.
UUAUUACCAGCGCCAGGGAGGAAGUUUCUACCAGCGGGGAUUAUGCGCAGUUUCCUUGCCCAGAAGCUUUUGGGCUUUGUCCCCUCCCACUCUUGAAAAGCAGCGAUUCCACAAACUAGAGGUGGUGGGAAGGGAGGGGGGUGGGGGGUUAGUAAAAAAAAAAAAAAAAAAAAAAGCGGGGCAAACUUAAACCUGCUCCUUUUGCUAUGCCUUUUUCUCCCUCCUCGCUUUUUACGGAGCUAGAAGAAGGAGCACGUUUCGGCCGCGUUUUUGUACACCGGGCGGCACAGAAGUGCAUUGUGUUGGGACCGGAGCAGGGAGGGAGGAGGAGGAGGGUGCUGGAGGAGCACAGCUGCACGGCGCACAAGAGCCGGCAUCUCAGCCUGACAGGCAGGCGAGCAGCAAGAGGGAGAGAGCGAAACGAGGGCUCUUCCGCCGCACUCUUUGAGGGGGUUCCUCUCCGUCCAGCGUUCGCCCCCACCAACCCGACAAACUCACCAUUCCCCCACGUUACAGCAGCUCCGUCCGGGAUUUUUAUUUAUUUAUUUAAUUGUUUUCAAAUCAAAGCACUGAAAUGUGGAAUGGACGCGGACAAGAGAAAGGAUUCUGUUCUCCUCUUCUGUGGCUGGCUACUCAAAUUCAGUACAAGAAAUGGCACUAAGGAGCUUUCUCCCUCACACAGUCCCUCACCGGGCGAGCCAUAAAAGAGAUGAUGUCAUGUCUGAGCCGGAGACUGUGUGGCCAUUCGCAGUGAUCCGUUUCUUAUUCAGCUCACUUGAAUGGCACAAAGCUGAGUGAAAGGGAUUGAGAAAAGGAUUGGAACCCCCAACAAAUUUACCACCGGCCCCAGGCUGCACACGGUUCCCAAUCUGGCUGGAUGUAAAUGAAAACGUUUGUUCGCAAAAAUAACUGGACGAAGGGCCGAAUCUUUCCAAAAGAAGAUGAACGCCCAUUUUUUUUAGCCUGCCAUGCUGUUAGAAAUUACACUGCUGGGUUUAAACAACGGUUUCUGAAUUUGUAGCUGGACAGAAGCACAAAGGAAUAUUUGUAGUACGUGUAACGGUGCAGAAGAGUCGUUGCUGUCAUGAUGAUGCUGUACAGUCCAAUGCAGUGCUACACAGCAGACUGGACUGUGAUAUCACUUCCUCCUCAUUAGUAAGGCCACGACAGGGGCUCGUUGGAAGGGAAGUCAUAUCUCCUUGUUUCAGAGGCGCGGGCUGUUCGUCCUGGCCCGUCUGAAACCACCAGGCUUCUUUUAACUUGCUCAGUGCUGUCCUUUUGAUGGCCAGACUGACAGGGUGGGGGUACAUGCCGAGGCAGUCUUCAUUAG